AGACAGGCUAAUCCAUUGGGGGAUCCAAGUAGAUGACCGCUGUUUGCUCUGUAAUGCGUAUCGUGAGUCUCGUGAUCAUCUCUUUUUUUCGUGUAAUUAUAGUUAUAACUUAUGGGAAAAGGUGGCAAGAAGAUUGCAACUUGUACCUCAGAGAGUUUGGCAGGAUACACUGGACCAGAUGAACUCUCUUCCUCCUCCCGCGACGCAGAGACUCCUCACGCUCCUCGCUUGGCAAGCUACGGGGAGUGAGAAAUACAAGACUCCAUGCUCAAACAUUCCGAUCAACUGAUCAAAUCUUCAAACUAGUUGACAGACAAAUCAGAAAUAAGAUCCAUGGCUUUCGCGAUUCUAAUCCGAACCGAUCAUCUUCAAUGUUGCAGAGUUGGAUCCGUUUUGGUUGAUGUUCACCGUCUCCUCCGUAACUUCAUUCGAUUCCUCUUCUUUCUCACCUUUGGGCUUAUUUACUUGGGCUAUUGCAAGGGUGUUGGGCUGUACUUGUUUGAUAUGGGCUAAAAUUUGACUAGAGUCUAUGACUUUUGUAUUGUUUUUGGUCUUUAUUUAAUAUUAAGAAAGCUGUUUUACAAAAAAAAAAAAAAAAAAAAAAACACAGGUAGUUGUUACCACGUAAUGUUGCAGGUAAACUUUUACUUCUCUUAUUGAC
RNAcentral lists this long non-coding RNA (661 nucleotides) under Brassica napus (rape). RNAcentral's name for it is "long non-coding RNA (BNAP_LNC023681)". The record is from RNAcentral. Lineage: Eukaryota; Viridiplantae; Streptophyta; Magnoliopsida; Brassicales; Brassicaceae.